Long non-coding RNA from Cannabis sativa, 703 nucleotides. RefSeq lists it as uncharacterized. NCBI's taxonomy places the organism in Eukaryota, Viridiplantae, Streptophyta, Magnoliopsida, Rosales, Cannabaceae. The record is from RefSeq and is a predicted model, not a curated record. The transcript is spliced from 2 exons.
UAUAUAUUAGGUUGUAUAUAUAUAAAGAGAAAAUUAGAGGAAACAUAACCCUCCUAUAAUUAUUUAUAUAUAUAUACACACAAAAAUAUAUAUAUUAUAUACAAAAAAAAUAUGAUGAAGCAAGUUAUGGCGUCCAAAGCUCUUGUUAUGGUGGUACUUUUGUUUACAUGCUUAUUUUCAAAGGCUCUUGUCCAAGGACGAACAAUGGAGAUCUUGAUGAAGAGAUCUGAUGAAAUUAAAAGCGGUUAUAAUAUUAAGAAGAUUAAUGAUGAUAAUAAUGAAUUUACAAUUAAAAUGGAGCAAGGUUUUGUUUUUGCAGACUACCAUCCACCAAAAACACACCCUCCUGUGCAUAAUAUACAUGAUUAGCACAGUUAGUACCAAGGCUUCAUAAUAUUAUUGUGGCAUAUAGUCAAAUAAAAUUUGAUGUAAUAAGGUAUAUUUCCUUUAUAUAAAGAUUCAUUCUUGUGUUUGGCAAAGAUUUAUAGAAAUAAAUUUAUAUGUAAUUUAAGAAUAAAUUUACAUAGUGAUGCCUUCGAGUUAAGGGGGCAGCACCCAUGCAUGAUGUGAUUUAGUCCGUUUUAGAGUGCAUUUGUUUUUUUUUUUUUUAAAGAUUCAGAUAUUUAAAUCUAAAUGUAUAUCUGAAUAAUAUAAAAUAUUAUAUCUGAAUUUGAAUAUUAAAAUAUUUACACGUUUUUUUUUA